GGCCAGUUAGCUCGGUCAGUUGAGCAUAGCGCUAACAACGCUAAGGUUGCGGGUUCAAUUCCCGUUCAGUCUC
This 73-nucleotide transfer RNA is filed under the name Apaloderma vittatum (bar-tailed trogon). It matches the Rfam family "tRNA". Rfam says of the family: Transfer RNA (tRNA) molecules are approximately 80 nucleotides in length. Lineage: Eukaryota; Metazoa; Chordata; Aves; Trogoniformes; Trogonidae. The record is from Rfam by way of RNAcentral.